GUCGGGGUCGCUCAUGAUGGUGAUCAUGGAUGUGUGAAUAUCGUGAUUACUGACAUGGACAAAGCAGUUACAUGUGUCAUAUUGCGGUACCUAUGGACAGUUACGCUAGCUAAUGAUGACAAAUUGUUUCAGGUUCCCCACACCACAACUUAUGGAUGACUCUUUCUAACAGUUGGGGUGCUCCUAUGAAAGCUGUCAUGUUGGACCAGUUUUGAUGCUUGUAUUGUCGCUGCUGGUUCAUAGAUUCAAACAUGGAAUUCGGGCAGAGGGAAUCAGAUGAAGCUCUUUUACAAAAACCUCCAGCCAUGACAUUUAAGUUUGCCCCAACAAGACUUUCGAGGCCAAACUUUCUUCCACCUAUUGUGUGUUCUCGAAGACUGUACAUUCAGAUAACUCUUGCCAUAAUGCUUGUUGCCAUAGUAGUGAUUGUGCGAGCAUUGUCGAACAUGCGUGUAGUGUUUGUACAAUUCCAUAAUGAAAGUGACACAGAUGGUGAGCUUGUGAUUUUACCAGAGGACUUCUCUGCCCCUAGAGGAGCGUAUUGUCUGGAUGGGUCCCCACCAGCAUUUUAUCUCCGACAUGGUGAGAUCAGUGCUGAGAACAACUGGCUGCUGCACCUCCAGUCUGGGGGCUGGUGUGUGUCUCCCACGGACUGCUACCACAGGAGCUUCACCGAGCUGGGAUCAAGCCAGUCUGCCCACACCUCUGCUCUGUUUGAGGGUAUCCUGUCCAGCGAUGAGAGGGUCAACCCAGACUUCUUCACCUGGAACACUGCCCAGUUUCUGUACUGUGAUGGGAGCUCUUUCACAGGUAACAAGUCAGGUGUGUUGGAUGUGCAAUCACGGCAACUGUAUUUGCGAGGUGGGGCAGUCUUUGAGACUUUGAUCGAGUACCUGCUGUCUCACACCAGCCUGGCCACAGCACAUCAUGUCAUCCUUGCUGGGUCAUCAGCUGGAGGGCUUGCAGCUCUUCUCCAAGCUGACCGGUUGAGGGAGAAGCUGCCUUCAUCAGUGAAGACCCUGCAUGUGCUGGUGGAUGGCUCCCUGUUCGUGGAUCAACCAGAUGCCAAUCAACAGCAUGUCAUGGCGGAGAUGCUGCACAACACUUACAAUCUCCACAACCUCAGAGAAUCCUUGGUGCUGAAGGAGUGUACAGGGAACCUCCCAGAGCAGGUUCGGUGGCGCUGUUUCCUGCCUGAGGUGUUCUACAAGCAUGUGUUCACGCCAAUGUUCUUUGUCAACUCCCUGUAUGACACAUGGUACUCGUCGGCCACACUGAGUAUCUCCUGUACUCGGGCUGGACUCUGCCCCCCCAGGAAUAUGCAAGUGUUGGACAGGGUGAAGCAGGCUAUCCUCCAACACUCGCAGGACCUCCUAGCGUCGGGGAAGAACGGUGUGUUCCUAACGUCCUGUCCCGCUCACACCAUGCUGCCUAAUCCAAGAUUCAACAGCAUGAAAGCAGGACAACUGACCAGUCAAGAUGCUAUAUCGAUGUGGCUCAAACACAACAAAAAGGGAUAUAAUGUUUCAGAGAGCAUUGACUUAAAUGACUCUGCCCAUUACUGCAAAUUGUUCUAUUGACCCAGUUGCUUGGAAGGCUGUGAGUGGGUGCCUAAUGCCUGUCUGUCCCUAGCCUGGUCAUACAGAAGCUAUUCUAAAGUACUAUAAGGAGAUUUGUCUCCAAAUACAUCAGCACAUGUUCUUAUUUGGCACAAGAUUUUGUUUUGCAAUUUGUCUACAAAAGUAUUGAUUGGUCAAUAUGAAAAAUUCAAAUUCAACAACUAUUUAAAGCUGGCUUCAUUUUUUUUACAUUCUGAAUAUUCUCAGGUGACAGUUAAAGGGAGCUGUUAUUUCUUUCCGCAUCAAACUUUGCUUAUCUGUCAGCUUUAACAGACCACCUAGGUCUCAUAGUUGCCAUAGAAACUGGUGUAAAGAUUGGUUGAAGUGUCAGUCUAGUGCAGUUGUCCUCAUUCCAUGGAGUCAAGACAGAAAAUGUUCACCUAGAUUCCAUGCUAGGCUAUCAAUAGAUAGCACUUCAAUGCAGAACAGGUGGAUAUCAAAGCUACUUCCUUUUGCUCCUCAACAAUCCACUGAAUCAAGGAAAUGUGGGAGGACAUCGUAGGACAAGACAUCAUUCAAGUACUUACGCUUUAUCUUCAUUAUUGUGCAAUCACAAUAGUUUUGGAAUAGCAUGGAUAGAGUUGUAAGUAGGAUUAAGAUGAAUGACAGGUGUUACGUUUUCACUGGCAUAUACAUUUAGUUUCCAAAUAACUAACCCAAAUCAAUGGCGGGUGAAAAACUAUGCGGUUUAUUACAUAACAAUCUCAUAUCCAAGAGGGCAAAUAAGGGAGGUAAUUCGAAUGCAAGUAUUGGCACCGAUAAAGUAGAGAGUCUGUGGAUCGAUACUGGUCAUGGUAUUAUAUCUUUUAUUCAAUACACAACAACAGAUAUCUGGCGGACUGUUGCAGUUGGGAAAGAAAUCCAUUUUUGAUGUUAUUUAGAUGAUCAUAAGGCAGGCCAACUAUGAACAAAGGCAUCGUCAUGUUUCUGGAAGAGACGCACUGUCAUGUUCCUGGAAGAGAUGCACUGUCAUGGUUCUGGAAGAGAUGCACUGUCAUGUUUCUGGAAGAGAUGCACUGUCAUGUUUCUGGAAGAGAUGCACUGUUGUAUAGAGAAGCAGUGAAAAGGCAGUGGGCAAGUUACAAAUUGAUGUGAGAGGUCUACACCAGGAAGAGAGACUGCCAUGAUAUAAUUCAGCCAGAAUGUGAUGACGGGAUGUGCUUGUUGGUUUUCUGUUUACAGCAGUAGGAUCAGUUCACUGAGAAAGGAUAUGUUUGGGUUCAAUGCACUUUGCUGGGCCCUAUCUGUAUGUACUGUUGCAAAUCAUGUCUUCUUUUACAAUUGAUCAAUUAUUUGUGAACGUGGUCUAUGAGGGGUGUUUGCUCCCUUUUCAGUAUUACUGUUAGUGACAAGGGUAAUUACCAAGGACAGGGUACAUGUUUACAUGUCUCCCUGCACAUGAUAAGACUGUUUUAACAACCACCCAUAACACCUAACACUCUCACUAUAAGCUUUGAACAAUUAACAGUUUCAAUUUGCCUGGUUUGUGGAUGUGAAGUAGCGCAGCAUGGAAAUGUGCCAAACAUAUGUGAAUUCGCAAAUAGAUUGCCAAAUGAUGUUAUACAACAAUGACUUGUCAUUCAGCCCCGAAGAAGACAAUCUGCUGUGGAUCUGCGCCUGUUUUGCUAUAGUAGUGCAGUAGUGUCUCUACUGUCUGGACCAAAGGUCACACCUAGAAAUUGUGGAGAGAGAACAAAAGAGGAUACAUUGAGUUGAGCAUGUUGAGCUUGCAUUCAAGGGUACUCCUUCUAUCUGUGAUACAGUGAUUGUAUGACUUUAGGAGCAAUGAUAUUUAAAAGGCUAUUGUAGUGUGUGUUGGUAAGCCUGCAUGUCAAGAUACUGGGGAAUCCAAGACUGAACAGCUGUUCAUCUCACUGAUAGAUUAGGCCGACCCUGUCAAUUAUGAACAUGUGUUAUUGCUGUGGAUGGACAAUGUGUACCCGGUCCUGAUGGGUACAGGCACCUAGCAGUGACAGCAAUACAUCUGACACUGCUGGAAGUGGUCCUGAUGGGUACAGACACCUAGCAGUGACAGCAAUACAUCUGACACUGCUGGAAGUAGUCCUGAUGGGUACAGACACCUAGCAGUGACAGCAAUACAUCGGACACUGUGGACCCGGUCCUGAUGGGUACAGACACCUAGCUGUGACAGCAAUACAUCGGACACUACUGGAAGUGGUCCUGAUGGGUACAGACACCUAGCAGUGACAGCAAUACAUCUGACACUGCUGGAAGUGGUCCUGAUGGGUACAGACACCUAGCAGUGACAGCAAUACAUCGGACACUGCUGGAAGUGGUCCUGAUGGGUACAGACACCUAGCAGUGACAGCAAUACAUCUGACACUGCUGGAAGUGGUCCUGAUGGGUACAGACACCUAGCAGUGAUAGCAAUACAUCUGACUCUGUGGACCCGGUCCUGAUGGGUACAGACACCUAGCAGUGAUAGCAAUACAUCUGACACUGUGGACCCGGUCCUGAUGGGUACAGACACCUAGCAGUGACAGCAAUACAUCUGACACUGCUGGAAGUGGUCCUGAUGGGUACAGACACCUAGCAGUGACAGCAAUACAUCUGACACUGCUGGAAGUAGUCCUGAUGGGUACAGACACCUAGCAGUGACAGCAAUACAUCGGACACUGUGGACCCGGUCCUGAUGGGUACAGACACCUAGCAGUGACAGCAAUACAUCUGACACUGUGGACCCAGUCCUGAUGGGUACAGACACCUAGCAGUGACAGCAAUACAUCUGACACUGCUGGAAGUGGUCCUGAUGGGUACAGACACCUUGCAGUGACAGCAAUACAUCGGACACUGCUGGAAGUGGGCCUGAUGGGUACAGACACCUAGCAGUGACAGCAAUACAUCUGACACUGCUGGAAGUGGUCCUGAUGGGUACAGACACCUUGCAGUGACAGCAAUACAUCUGACUCUGUGGACCCAGUCCUGAUGGGUACAGGCACCUAGCAGUGACAGCAAUACAUCUGACACCGCUGGAAGUGGUCCUGAUGGGUACAGACACCUAGCAGUGACAGCAAUACAUCUGACACUGCUGGAAGUGGUCCUGAUGGGUACAGACACCAUGCAGUGACAGCAAUACAUCGGACACUGCUGGAAGUGGUCCUGAUGGGUACAGACACCUAGCAGUGACAGCAAUACAUCUGACACUGCUGGAAGUGGUCCUGAUGGGUACAGACACCUUGCAGUGACAGCAAUACAUCGGACACUGCUGGAAGUGGUCCUGAUGGGUACAGACACCUAGCAGUGAUAGCAAUACAUCUGACUCUGUGGACUCGGUCCUGAUGGGUACAGACACCUAGCAGUGACAGCAAUACAUCUGACUCUGUGGACCCGGUCCUGAUGGGUACAGACACCUAGCAGUGACAGCAAUACAUCGGACACUGCUGGAAGUAGUCCUGAUGGGUACAGACACCUAGCAGUGACAGCAAUACAUCUGACACUGCUGGAAGUGGUCCUGAUGGGUACAGACACCUAGCAGUGACAGCAAUACAUCUGACUCUGUGGACCCAGUCCUGAUAGGUACAGACACCUAGCAGUGACAGCAAUACAUCUGACUCUGUGGACCCGGUCCUGAUGGGUACAGACACCUAGCAGUGACAGCAAUACAUCCGACACUGCUGAAAGUGGUCCUGAUGGGUACAGACACCUUGCAGUGAUAGCAAUACAUCUGACACUGCUGGAAGUGGUCCUGAUCGGUACAGACACCUAGCAGUGAUAGCAAUACAUCUGACUCUGUGGACCCGGUCCUGAUGGGUACAGACACCUAGCAGUGACAGCAAUACAUCUGACUCUGUGGACCCAGUCCUGAUAGGUACAGACACCUUGCAGUGACAGCAAUACAUCUGACUCUGUGGACCCAGUCCUGAUAGGUACAGACACCUUGCAGUGACAGCAAUACAUCGGACACUGCUGGAAGAGGUCCUGAUGGGUACAGACACCUUGCAGUGACAGCAAUACAUCGGACACUGCUGGAAGUAGUCCUGAUGGGUACAGACACCUAGCAGUGACAUCAAUACAUCUGACUCUGUGGACCCAGUCCUGAUGGGUACAGACACCUUGCAGUGACAGCAAUACAUCUGACUCUGUGGACCCGGUCCUGAUAGGUACAGACACCUAGCAGUGACAGUAAUACAUCUGACUCUGUGGACCCGGUCCUGAUAGGUACAGACACCUAGCAGUGACAGUAAUACAUCUGACACUGCUGGAAGUGGUCCUGAUGGGUACAGACACCUUGCAGUGACAGCAAUACAUCGGACACUGCUGGAAGUGGUCCUGAUGGGUACAGACACCUUGCAGUGACAACAAUACAUCGGACACUGCUGGAAGUGGUCCUGAUUGGUACAGACACCUAGCAGUGAUAGCAAUACAUCUGACUCUGUGGACCCGGUCCUGAUGGGUACAGACACCUAGCAGUGACAGCAAUACAUCUGACUCUGUGGACCCGGUCCUGAUAGGUACAGACACCUAGCAGUGACAGUAAUACAUUGGACACUGCUGGAAGUGGUCCUGAUGGGUACAGACACCUAGCAGUGAUAGCAAUACAUCUGACACUGCUGAAAGUGGUCCUGAUGGGUACAGACACCUAGCAGUGACAGCAAUACAUCUGACACUGCUGGAAGUGGUCCUGAUGGGUACAGACACCUAGCAGUGACAGCAAUACAUCUGACACUGCUGGAAGUGGUCCUGAUGGGUACAGACACCUAGCAGUGACAGCAAUACAUCUGACACUGCUGGAAGUGGUCCUGAUGGGUACAGACACCUAGCAGUGACAGCAAUACAUCUGACACUACUGGAAGUGGUCCUGAUGGGUACAGACACCUAGCAGUGACAGCAAUACAUCUGACACUGCUGGAAGUGGUCCUGAUGGGUACAGACACCUAGCAGUGACAGCAAUACAUCUGACACUGUGGACCCGGUCCUGAUGGGUACAGGCACCUAGCAGUGACAGCAAUACAUCUGACACUGCUGGAAGUGGUCCUGAUGGGUACAGACACCUAGCAGUGACAGCAAUACAUCUGACACUGCUGGAAGUGGGCCUGAUGGGUACAGACACCUAGCAGUGACAGCAAUACAUCUGACACUACUGGAAGUGGUCCUGAUGGGUACAGACACCUAGCAGUGACAGCAAUACAUCUGACACUGCUGGAAGUGGUCCUGAUGGGUACAGACACCUAGCAGUGACAGCAAUACAUCUGACACUGCUGGAAGUGGUCCUGAUGGGUACAGACACCUUGCAGUGACAGCAAUACAUCUGACACUGCUGGAAGUGGUCCUGAUGGGUACAGACACCUAGCAGUGACAGCAAUACAUCUGACACUGUGGACCCGGUCCUGAUGGGUACAGACACCUAGCAGUGACAGCAAUACACCGGACACUACAGGAAUUUGAAUAUUCACUUGUAUUGUUUUGUGAAUUGGAAGAAAGGCCAUUAAAAUCUUAACUUUUCACUUAUGAUGAUACAGUACCAUGGCUGGACAUUAAAAUCUGUAAGUGGUUGUUUAUUAAGAUCGAGUCCAUUAUAUGUGGCAUUGAAAGUAGCUGAGGCUAAUUUUUAAGGCUAUAUAAACAAGUCAAUACAGGCAACAGAAAAUAGAGGAUGAUCAACUAAUUAACAUUGUUGCUGAUGUUAUUUAAUAUGAAGAAUAACAAGUAAAAGCUAAGAGAAAGAAGGAAGCAAUGAUGCUGUCUGCUUGUUCAGCAUACCCACCUUGAUGGCUUUCUACCAAUACUCAGUGUUGGCUUUGAUGUAUUUUUCGGAAUUGAAUGUUGUCGUGAGUAUUGUUUUUUCGAAAUAAUUAAGUGUCAUUAUAGUUGAUGACUCCAUGGAGGCAUUUUGUGAAAUUUUACAGUAUUUUACAGUAUUUUAGUGUAUCCAUGACCCCUCUAAAAUAUCAAAUAUAUCUGUCAUGCUUAUUUUCAUAAGCCCAUUUGUUUCUCUACACUUGCACUGUGUGUUGUAUAGGAGGUUUGUGAUAUUUUUGUACUUUAUGUUUUAACCUUUAGCCUGCUGAAUUGUUUUCACACUUCUUAGCCCUGCCUGCUGGAUUAAUUUUAGCAUAAGGCGCUGUAAAGAGGGUGGGUGAUUUCAAACAGUUGGUGCUUCAUUAUACAAGGGCCAAUUGAAGAAAUAUUUUGCACAUUUAUUCGUGAUAGAAAAUUACACAGUACUAUGUAAAAAAAUCCUGAUGUUUUCAAUCAUACCAAGGUUAAGACCAAAACGAACACAAAAUUUAUAAAUGUUCGUGAUCUUGCCUGAAUUACGUUAUUAAAGGUGGUUUACGUUUCAUGUAAGGAACCUUUUUAAAUCGUUAAAUUUGUGCAAAUUGAUUUCAAUAAUCAGAUCUCCGAUAUCUUAAUUUUAACUGAGUAUAAAUUCGAUGUUUUUUAUUGGUAAAUAACAGCGCGAUGGUAAAUUAUGAACCAUUUCUGUAAAUUUAUCAUCAAAACGUUAAACAGAAAAAAAACUAAAUUUUCGAGGUCACCAUGUCAGUUGCAGAAAUACGAACAUUCGAGUUAAUCUAACAUGUCACGUUAUCAAAUUUGCAGGAAACAAUAAAUGCCCCAAUAAAUGACUCAUAAAUAUUCACCAAUCCUUAUUUCAAGUGUUUUGGUUGAAUAUUUACGAUAUACGUAAACACAAGGACCGUGUCAUGAUGCUAGCAGACGUUCGAACAUCAAACAUGGCGCGCUUCGCCCGACCUCGGCAUAACUUAUUGCUAGUUUAAUAUCAACAAAGUUUACACUGUCUUCAUGUAUAUGCCUUGGCGAAAGUUGACAAUCUUCACAAUCGAAGAUUGUUUCAUUUGUCAUUUUCCGUUUAAUAUGACGAGAGAAAAACCAAAAUAAAGAUCGUAAAUUCUGACAGCAAUAUUUCAGUUUGUGCAAAGGUCACCGGAUGUGAUGUCACAGACAGGGGUAGUCUGCUGAUAAUCUUUCGAAACAAAACAAUUUUGAAAUAUUUCGCCUGUAUUAUACAGAAUAAACACAAAUCACUACAUAUUAUCAGUAAUCACCACUAACAUGAAAUUACAAAGUGAUUUUCAAGAUAUAAUUGGCGUAUUUUUUUAAUCCGUUUGACCUUGCAUGCUCCCUUGACCCGGAAACGGGAGACGAUGAAUCAACACGCCACAUGCAAGUUUCUCGGUAUCUUUUAUUUGAACUUUUGUUGAUAUAUAAGGAUCACCAUUCCAUGUUACGUUGAAUAUAAAGUGAUAUGAUUCAUGUAUCUGCGAUGUACAUGCUGAUGACUUUGUUUUCACUAUAAUAAUUAUGUGUGUGAAGCAAUAAGUCGAAAUCGUCGAUCGGCAACGAUCACACCCCAUAACAGGUGCGCGAAAAUAGGCGUGACAAAACGUGUUUCAAAAUACAGUAGCAUUCAUGCGAUGCCGAAUAUGAUAGGAUAUACGCAGGUGGGUGAUGUAUAUAUAAAAAAAAUAUACAUAUUUUCAGUGUUAGUUUCUAAUUAAAUGUGGGAUAUUUAAAUAAGUUUUCCUUUUAUAAUACAUUUAUCGAUUCUAGCAGGAUUUUACAACAAUUCACGGAUGAUCUUAAAAUAUAUUCCAUCAAUAUAGAGACCGCCAUGAUUGCGUAUUGAUGAUAGAUUUGUUAAUGUUUAAUUAUUUACAUCUGUUCACAGCUUCUAAAAUAUUAAGUUAUUUUUAGUAUCUUUUUUUCCACCAAUGAUCAUGUGUAUGGAUAUUAAAUAUUGGUCAACAGGUCAAUGCAUCAGCACAGUGUAACUGAUCAGACUUAAUUAUUAUCUUUAGUUUAAACAUAUUUUAUUCAACAAUUGUUAUCUUUCACCUGAACAUAUAUUAUGUGAAUAAGUAACUAUUUGAUGUCAUUAUUUAAGUUUAGUAUUUCACACAAAAAAUAUAGAAAUAGAUAAGAUCCUUAUAUGAACCUAUACAUACACAACUCAUAUGGACAUUAAUCUUGUGUAUGAAGUUGUUUGUUUCCAAAAAAAUAAUUCUUAAAUAUAAUUGUAAUAUGAAUACGAUACAUUAAUUUCUUGUAACAGAACAUGAUAUUUUUGUUUGUUUAAUCACAAGAACCAGGGUGGCACUUAAGCUGGUGAGUUAGCCAUAUAUUCAUAAGAGAAUGUUAUCUUUUGAAAAAGGAAUAGGGCACAUAUACAUACAUUGACAAUUCUUGCAGUUCUGUUCUGUUGGAGAAAGGUACAUGGAAAUAUCCUACCUUAUGUAUUUUUUCAGGGUUCUCACCAAUGAAAUAAUGUGUAAUUAGAGUGGCAGGACUUUCCAGGUUUGUUGCAGUAUGCUCUCGUGUGCUUGACAGUGACACUCUUGCAUGUCCCCUGAAGGAACAUGAACCAUUGUGAAAUGUGAUCAACAGGUUUUCGUCUUCAGUCAAUAUAAUGUACAAAAAUACAAAAUAAAUGCAGAUCAUCACCAGCUUUGGAUCUGACAUCCUUGAUCAUUUUGAUGGGUUUCUGAAUAUACAGUCAGUAUAGGUCCUUAUGUUCUUUGUUUGACAGUAGCGUUGAGAGCUUUAAGGGCAGAUUCUCCAAUAUGUAGUGAACUUGCAAUUACAUACAUGUACAUGGGUGUAUGUAAUGGUAGAUGUUUAUUCUUAACCUCAGAAUCCAAAUGCCCACACAGGCGAAAUAUUUAGUUGUGAAAGACGCAAACCACACAUGCCUGACCUGCAUCGUUUCCUUCUCCCUUCAGUGUCAUAUUAUUCUGUACUCUUUGUAGAAAGACCAAAUUUUAUGGCUGCAAUGUUUGCAAGUUCUUUUUGGAGUAGGUGGGAAGCAUACCUGGCUCUGUACCAAAAUAUACUUGGCUGUUUCCUAUUCAGGAGUGUUUCUCUUUUUAUACCAAAUAUACACGACUAUGGGUGAAGAUUGGGGAACUUUUCAUACCAAAUAUACACGACUGUGGGUGAAGUUUGGGGAACUUUUCAUACCAAGUAUGCACGACUAUUGGUGAAGUUUGGGGAACUUUUCAUACCAAGUAUGCACGACUAUGGGUGAAGAUUGGGGAACUUUUCAUACCAAAUAUACACGACUGUGGGUGAAGUUUGGGGAACUUUUCAUACUAAGUAUACACGACUACGGGUGAAGAAUGGGGAACUUCGGUAUCAAAUAGUAAUUCAGUUAUAUCACCACAAUCACAGGCCAAAGGGCAGAGAUGUUUACCACUAUGGUGAAACAAGCAUGGAGGAUAUUCUGUGAAUGGAACCAGUGUGGCCCCUCGAAGCAGAUGGGCUGUUGCUGACAGUAUCUUCUGCUUGUGCACUUGCCACAAACUUAUUGACAUGCACUUCAACAACCAAAAUGGAUUUUAUUCAUUCAUAUUUAUGGAUUACUUUUAUAACUAUUCAUCAUCAUACAAAGUAUCAAGAAUGUGUUAUGGUAACCAUGGUAACUGGAGUACAGAGUGGUCACAUGGCAUCAUGUCUAACUUAUUUCUCCAUCAAUUAUCUCUCUCUGAUGACUGUGAAUGUCAGUACUUGAGAGGAGCAUUACUGUGGGUAGCUACUGUAAAUCUUGAAAUUAACGCGAGCCUGAAUUAAAUGUGACAAAAUGCGAGUGAUCUUUGCUUGCAUCAAUAAACUUCACAUUUAUGUCUCCAAAAUGACUAUCAACAAUAAGACAGCCUCACUGCACACUUUGGAUAGUGGAAAUACCAGCUUGAAUGUAAACAAGGUUUAUUAAGCAGCAGUUAUAACACGUACAUAACAAUGUCAUUCAAAGAAUAGGAAGUACACAAUGGGCAUCUGGUGAGUUAUCACUGCUCGGCUCACAAGUUCUACCCAUGUCAAACUUGUUGACACCUUCUCCGCAUACCAAUCAGUGAACUCUUGUUGGUUCAAUUAUUUUAUUGAACUUCCUUAAUGCCUGUCAACAGAGUAAAAAAAUAAACUGCAUGUUGUUUUUUAGGAAAACACUGUUUAUUGUUUUUACAGAAGAGCUCUACUCAGUGCUAAUAAGCGGUGCUAUUUGCUGUUUGAUUGGAUAAAGGUAAGGAUAUGUAUCAUUCCACUGGGGAUGGUGUACAAGAGACGAAUUGAUAUUGAGUCGCAUUUUUGGCUAGGGGUCAGCAGUCGCAUUAAUUUGGAGACGCAUUAAUUUGGAGAUUUACAGUAUAUGUUGUAAUACAUGCAGAGGUACAAGCUGACCAGAACUCACACCUAAAUCCUGACAAGAGAUCACAGACAGCUUGGGUAGUGGAUGCUUAACAUAUCAAAACAAUUCCUCAGCUGUAUAGUUUUGUCUCAAGCUGCUGUCCUAAUACAGUUAUGUCACAAAUAGGAUUCAUUGAUGCAGUUCAAAAAUUGCUGCCAGUGAUCAGCAGGUAUUAAACAAUUUGUUGACAAA
This 11976-nucleotide unclassified non-coding RNA is filed under the name Haliotis rufescens (red abalone). RNAcentral describes it as "pectin acetylesterase 6-like, transcript variant X1". Lineage: Eukaryota; Metazoa; Mollusca; Gastropoda; Lepetellida; Haliotidae. The record is from RNAcentral.